This 1048-nucleotide ribosomal RNA is filed under the name uncultured organism. RNAcentral's name for it is "bacterial SSU rRNA". It matches the Rfam family "Bacterial small subunit ribosomal RNA", at positions 332 to 1413 of the family's 1533-position model. The record is from RNAcentral.
CAUACUCCUACGGGAGGCAGCAGCGGGGAAUAUUGCGCAAUGGACGGAAGUCAGACGCAGCGACGCCGCGUGGGUGAGGAAGGCCUUCGGGUUGUAAAGCCCUUUUCAGGGGAGCGAGAAAGGACGGUACCCUUGGAAUAAGCGUCGGCUAACUACGUGCCAGCAGCCGCGGUAAGACGUAUGACGCAAGCGUUAUCCGGAUUUACUGGGCGUAAAGCGCCUGUAGGCGGUCAAGUAAGUCGGAUGUGAAAGCCCCGUGCUCAACGCGGGGAAGCCAUUCGAUACUGCGUGACUAGAGAACGGCAGAGGGAAACGGAAUUUCUGGUGUAGCGGUAAAAUGCGCAGAGAUCAGAAAGAACACCGAUGGCGAAGGCAGUUUCCUAGGCCGCAUCUGACGCUGAGAGGCGAAAGCUAGGGGAGCAAACAGGAUUAGAGACCCUGGUAGUCCUAGCUGUAAACGAUGGAUGCUAGGUGUGGGCCGGAAAGGUCCGUGCCGUAGUUAACGCGAUAAGCAUCCCGCCUGGGGAGUACGGCCGCAAGGCUAAAACUCAAACGAAUUGACGGGGACCCGCACAAGCAGCGGAGCGUGUGGUUUAAUUCGAUGCUACACGCAGAACCUUACCUGGGCUUGACAUGUAGGUGGUAGUGAAGUGAAAGCGGAGCGACCCUUCGGGGAGCCUACACAGGUGCUGCAUGGCUGUCGUCAGCUCGUGCCGUGAGGUGUCGGGUUAAGUCCCGUAACGAGCGCAACCCUUGUCCUUAGUUACAAGUGUCUAAGGAGACUGCCGGUGACAAACCGGAGGAAGGUGGGGAUGACGUCAAGUCAGCAUGGCCCUUAUGUCCAGGGCGACACACACGCUACAAUGGUCGGUACAAUGGGCAGCGCAGCCGCGAGGUGAAGCGAAUCCCAACAAAGCCGAUCCCAGUUCGGAUUGCAGGCUGCAACCCGCAUGCAUGAAGCCGGAGUUGCUAGUAACCGCGCGUCAGCCAUAGUGCGGUCAAUACGUUCCCGGGUCUGUACACACCGCCCGUCACGUCAUGGGAGUUG